UAUGCUACACUUGUGAGGGCACUUUGUAGGGAGGGGAGGGUGGCAGAUGCUUAUGAAGUGUUUGAUUAUGCAGUUGAGAGUAAGAGUGUAACUGAUGUUGCUGCUUAUACAACUUUGGAGGGUGCACUGAAGUGGCUUAAGAAAGCAAGGGAACAAGGCCUUGCUACCUAACUGAUGCCACAGUGAUGUUUAUCAAUUCCCAUAUUGGCAACAGUGGCCUUUGGUUUUUCUUAGUUUAUGAAACUUACAAAGGUUGGAUUGUGCUGUUGUUUUGUUUUCAGUAACGACUAAACUUGUUAAUCUCAGUGAAAGUGUAACUGUAACACUCAAGGUUAAGCAAAUGGCAUUAACCCGGUUGUGUUUGUUUAAUUUAUUGUUUACUUGAAGAGAGAUAUUACACGAGUUUAAAGGUACUGAAGUGAAUCCCUUUUGGCAACACUUAAAUAUGUACAGAUGUUUUGUCUCUGAGA
Molecule: non-coding RNA, 470 nt
Organism: Prunus avium (sweet cherry)
Lineage: Eukaryota; Viridiplantae; Streptophyta; Magnoliopsida; Rosales; Rosaceae
Source: RefSeq, a predicted model, not a curated record